Molecule: long non-coding RNA, 1825 nt
Organism: Gallus gallus (chicken)
Lineage: Eukaryota; Metazoa; Chordata; Aves; Galliformes; Phasianidae
Source: Ensembl
ACACUUGUCUGCUGGCAAUUCUAUUUCAAAGCCUCUCAACAACUCUGAUCCUUUUGCGGCAUUCUGUCCUUAUCUGAAAGUUGGCAAAUUCCAAUUGAGACUUCUAAAAGAUUUUACAGAAAAGAUGUCCACCUCCCUGGUUCAAAACUCAAAGUGCUUGGGGCAUCACUUCCCUCAACAUGUCGGCUGUGGUACUGUCACAUCCUCCAGUUUGCUGUCUGUAACCGCACCCCUGGCUCACUCUGUGCCUGUGUUGCAGAACCUCAGCUCCUUUUUAGCUGCUCCUCGUGGAGCACAAGCUGUUUGCAAAGGAGUUGAGGGUGAGGACAGGAGCUCUCAUCUUCUACCCACUUCACAAUUUUACAAUCAUUUGCCAAUGGUGAAGCUGUUGGCAUUACUGAAGCGAAUGCAGAUGAUGAGAUGAUGGCAAUGAGUAUCUGACUAAGUGAUAAUGUUAGGAAGAAAUACUGUGAAGCUGAGCAAAUUUAGAAGUUGUAAAAGUAAAUCUUCACACACUUCAAAAAUGCCUGGAGGCUUUUUUGAAACCUGGCUUUCUGUACUUCUUCAGAAAGGCUGCUCUCUCCUGAAAGUCAUCAGUAUUUUGACUAUUUGGAGUACACUGUUUAUUAUUCAUCUGUUGCACAGUUAUUCUGAUUUAUUCUUAUUUGGUUGUUUAUUCAUCUUGCAUGGAUUAGAGUCUUUCAGUAAAUGUUAAGUAAGAAUUAGAAUAUAUUACAUAGUUUCCUACAUAUAUGCAGUGCAAAGCUUCUAUUAAAAAAUAAAAGGCAGCACGAUUUUAGCAAAUAGCAGAUCAAAGCUGCCUGUGAAAAAGAAUGGUGACUUAAUAACAUAACUGGGAUUGCUUUCCAAACUUCUGUCUUAAGCGUUUCAUAUAAAAUUAAUGUAUGGAAGUAAACUCAGGUCAUACUUCAAAUAAGUUUCUUUCUGUAAUUAAGUAAGAACUCUAACUUGUCUAAAAAUACUAAGCACUUGUCUAAAAAUACUAAGCAUGAUUAUAAAAAGCUCAAAGCUGACUUCCUUUAAAUCCUAAUGCAUGACACAGAAAAAAAGGCCACAAAAAUGAGUGUAGUACUGCUGACACAGUUGGACGUCAGAUAUUUUUAUUUAAUACCAUCUAUUAAUAAUUAAUUUUUGAACUCUGACAUUACUGCACUAGAAAAGCUGCUGAACACAAAUUUAGAUCUCUAACUGUGCAUGGUGAAAGAGCUCAUUCAUCCAAUCACAUAUUUUUGGAGAUUUGUACCUAAUGACAUGAUGCUAGAAUCAGGAAACAGGAAAUAAAUUACUAUCUCAAUUUCUGUUACUAAUAGCAUGAAAUCCUCUACAAGUAGUAAGAUCAGAUACAUCAUGUGUGUCAUGAUGUAACCUACUAAAGAUACUAAAUGCAUUAAACAGCAAGUUAUGAGCAAUUAUGUUGGCUCCAGGAUACUUGUUCUCACCCUACAACUGUUUUUCAUGUCAUUAAGAGCAUCACAGCAAGAGUAUUUGUACUGUGCAAUGUAUUUAACUAGGCCUCUAGUCCUAAUGCCAUUCUUACAAACAGUAUUUCAGUAGCAGUGCCUCCCAUUCUGUCAGCAUGUAUCAUAAACAAGGAAGCAUAAAGCCUGAAGUAUGGAAAAAAUUGCAAGAUUCUUAUCUACCCAUUAAUCAAGAGAUUUCACUGUACCUACUGCAUAAGUUUCUGCUUGCGCUUUUCUCUUAUUAGAUGCUCCAAUUAGUAAAUAGUUUGCAAUUUAAAAGAAUGAUGUUCCAUCACUUUUUUAGACUAUAAGUAGAUGCAGAAUUAAAUUUGCCUUCCACUGCU